GGAAACGGCGAGUGUAUGGGGUGAAAGAAACAAAAAUAAGUCACUCAGCCUAUUCCAUUAACGAGAAAAACGUCUCGCAACAGAAGGCAACGUUACUCCUCACAGGUCAUGGGGGAGCCAGAGCCACAGCCUAUCCCGUCAAGCAACUGACGCAAGGCAAGAUACACCCUUGACGCCAUACCAGUCCAUUGCAGACAUGACUUGCUCUAACCUAACGAGGUCCAAAAAAAAUUCGAACCACCAGGCCAUCACUCUGUCUGUCUUCCCUAAAACUCCACCCUGCUCCCAGGGCAGCAACAUAAAUCGUGACACUGUCCUGGUGUGAUACCUACUGUUAUGGGAAGAUGUGGUCCUGGAUUCAUGAAGUGAACAGG
This is a long non-coding RNA of Lepisosteus oculatus (spotted gar), 374 nucleotides long. RefSeq lists it as uncharacterized. Lineage: Eukaryota; Metazoa; Chordata; Actinopteri; Semionotiformes; Lepisosteidae. The record is from RefSeq and is a predicted model, not a curated record.